UGGGGAAUAUUGCACAAUGGGCGAAAGCCUGAUGCAGCAACGCCGCGUGAGUGAUGAAGGCCUUCGGGUUGUAAAGCUCUGUCUUUUGGGACGAUAAUGACGGUACCAAAGGAGGAAGCCACGGCUAACUACGUGCCAGCAGCCGCGGUAAUAACGUAGGUGGCAAGCGUUGUCCGGAUUUACUGGGCGUAAAGGAUGCGUAGGCGGAUUUUUAAGUGAGAUGUGAAAUACCCGGGCUUAACUUGGGUGCUGCAUUUCAAACUGGGAAUCUAGAGUGCGGGAGAGGAGAAUGGAAUUCCUAGUGUAGCGGUGAAAUGCGUAGAGAUUAGGAAGAACACCAGUGGCGAAGGCGAUUCUCUGGACCGUAACUGACGCUGAGGCAUGAAAGCGUGGGUAGCAAACAGGAUUAGAUACCCUGGUAGUCCACGCCGUAAACGAUGAGUACUAGGUGUAGGAGGUAUCGACCCCUUCUGUGCCGCAGUUAACACAAUAAGUACUCCGCCUGGGAAGUACGAUCGCAAGAUUAAAACUCAAAUGAA
This 539-nucleotide ribosomal RNA is filed under the name uncultured bacterium. RNAcentral's name for it is "partial 16S ribosomal RNA". It matches the Rfam family "Bacterial small subunit ribosomal RNA", at positions 355 to 909 of the family's 1533-position model. The record is from RNAcentral.